UACGUAGGUGGCAAGCGUUGUCCGGAAUUAUUGGGCGUAAAGCGCGCGCAGGUGGUUCCAAAAGUCUGAUGUGAAAGCCCCCGGCUCAACCGGGGAGGGUCAUUGGAAACUGGGGAACUUGAGUGCAGGAGAGGAAAGUGGAAUUCCACGUGUAGCGGUGAAAUGCGUAGAUAUGUGGAGGAACACCAGUGGCGAAGGCGACUUUCUGGCCUGUAACUGACACUGAGGCGCGAAAGCGUGGGAAGCAAACAGGAUUAGAUACCCUGGUAGUCCACGCCGUAAACGAUGAGUGCUAAGUGUUGGGGGGUUUCCGCCCCUCAGUGCUGCAGCUAACGCAUUAAGCACUCCGCCUGGGGAGUACGGCCGCAAGGCUGAAACUC
RNAcentral lists this ribosomal RNA (380 nucleotides) under uncultured Jeotgalibacillus sp. RNAcentral describes it as "bacterial SSU rRNA". It matches the Rfam family "Bacterial small subunit ribosomal RNA", at positions 524 to 902 of the family's 1533-position model. Lineage: Bacteria; Bacillati; Bacillota; Bacilli; Caryophanales; Caryophanaceae. The record is from RNAcentral.